This 403-nucleotide ribosomal RNA is filed under the name uncultured bacterium. RNAcentral's name for it is "partial 16S ribosomal RNA". It matches the Rfam family "Bacterial small subunit ribosomal RNA", at positions 28 to 526 of the family's 1533-position model. The record is from RNAcentral.
GACGAACGCUGGCGGCGUGCCUAAUACAUGCAAGUCGAACGCAGUGGGGACGGGUGAGUAACCCGUGGGUAACCUCCCAUCAGAGGGGAUAACACUUGGAAACAGGUGCUAAACCGAUACUGAUGGAUGGACCCGCGGUGCAUUAGCUAGUUGGUGAGGUAACGGCUCACCAAGGCCACGAUGCAUAGCCGACCUGAGAGGGUAAUCAGCCACACUGGGACUGAGAAACGGCCCAGAUUCCGACGAGAGGCAGCAGUAGGGAAUCUUCGGCAAUGAGCGAAAGUCUGACCAAGCAAAGCCGCGUGAGUGAAGAAGGUUUUCGGAUCGUAAAACUCUGUUGUAAGAGAAGCGGUAUCUAACCAGAAAGCCACGGCUAACUACGUGCCAGCAGCCGCGGUAAUUC